UAAAAAGCUCGUAGUUGGAUCUGUGUAUCGGACGGUCGGUUCGCCGCUCGCGGCGUUUAACUGACCGGUCCGGACGUCCUGCCGGUGGGCGGCGGGCCCUUCGCGGGGCUCGUCGUCCGUUAACCUUCCCUUCGGGCUGCUCUUAACCGAGUGGUCCGGUGGGCCGGCACGUUUACUUUGAACAAAUUUGAGUGCUCAAAGCAGGCCUCGAGUCGCCUGAAAACUGUGUGCAUGGAAUAAUGGAAUAGGGCCUCUUUUCUAUUUUGUUGGCUUUUCUGAAAUAGAGGUAAUGAUUAAUAGGGACAGACGGGGGCAUUCGUAUUGCGACGUUAGAGGUGAAAUUCUUGGAUCGUCGCAAGACGGACGGAUGCGAAAGCGUUUGCCAAGAAUGUUUUCGCUAAUCAAGAACGAAAGUUAGAGGUUCGAAGGCGAUCAGAUACCGCCCUAGUUCUAACCAUAAACGAUGCCAGCCAGCGAUGCGCCGACGUUCCUCCGAUGACUCGGCGCGCAGCUUCCGGGAAACCAAAGCUUUUGGGUUCCGGGG
Molecule: ribosomal RNA, 544 nt
Filed under: Ephemerella sp. OPU BS E2014-68
Lineage: Eukaryota; Metazoa; Arthropoda; Insecta; Ephemeroptera; Ephemerellidae
Also listed under: 5 other names
Description: SSU rRNA
Rfam family: Eukaryotic small subunit ribosomal RNA
Source: RNAcentral